Molecule: small nucleolar RNA, 66 nt
Organism: Monodelphis domestica (gray short-tailed opossum)
Lineage: Eukaryota; Metazoa; Chordata; Mammalia; Didelphimorphia; Didelphidae
Source: Ensembl
GUUCAUGAUGAUGGAAUAUUUCUUCACUUUGACCUGAUGUCUAAUGAAGAAAUCUAACCUCUGAGA